GGCAUCAGAUUUGAAGUAAAGAUUUAUCGGUAAUGGAUGGGGAUGCGUCUGAUUAGCUUGUUGGCGGGGUAACGGCCCACCAAGGCAACGAUCAGUAGGGGUUCUGAGAGGAAGGUCCCCCACAUUGGAACUGAGACACGGUCCAAACUCCUACGGGAGGCAGCAGUGAGGAAUAUUGGUCAAUGGACGGAAGUCUGAACCAGCCAAGUAGCGUGCAGGAUGACGGCCCUAUGGGUUGUAAACUGCUUUUGUAUGGGGAUAAAGUUAGGGACGUGUCCCUAUUUGCAGGUACCAUACGAAUAAGGACCGGCUAAUUCCGUGCCAGCAGCCGCGGUAAUACGGAAGGUCCAGGCGUUAUCCGGAUUUAUUGGGUUUAAAGGGAGCGUAGGCUGGAGAUUAAGUGUGUUGUGAAAUGUAGACGCUCAACGUCUGAAUUGCAGCGCAUACUGGUUUCCUUGAGUACGCACAACGUUGGCGGAAUUCGUCGUGUAGCGGUGAAAUGCUUAGAUAUGACGAAGAACUCCGAUUGCGAAGGCAGCUGACGGGAGCGCAACUGACGCUUAAGCUCGAAGGUGCGGGUAUCAAACAGGAUUAGAUACCCUGGUAGUCCGCACAGUAAACGAUGGAUGCCCGCUGUUGGUACCUGGUAUCAGCGGCUAAGCGAAAGCAUUAAGCAUCCCACCUGGGGAGUACGCCGGCAACGGUGAAACUCAAAGGAAUUGACGGC
This 727-nucleotide ribosomal RNA is filed under the name uncultured bacterium. RNAcentral describes it as "bacterial SSU rRNA". It matches the Rfam family "Bacterial small subunit ribosomal RNA", at positions 187 to 917 of the family's 1533-position model. The record is from RNAcentral.